Molecule: ribosomal RNA, 437 nt
Filed under: Sibovia taeniatifrons
Lineage: Eukaryota; Metazoa; Arthropoda; Insecta; Hemiptera; Cicadellidae
Description: partial large subunit ribosomal RNA
Source: RNAcentral
UUCUGCCCUAUGAAUAAUUAAAUGGCUGCAGUAUUUUGACUGUGCAAAGGUAGCAUAAUAAUUAGUCUUUUAAUUGAUGACUUGUAUGAAUGAAUGAAUGAAAGAUUUGUUUUAUUUUUUAUAUAAUUAUAAUUUAAUUAAUGAGUAAAAAAGCUUAUUUUUUUGUCUGGGACGAGAAGACCCUAUAGAACUUUAUUAAUUUAUUUAAUUAUAAUAAUUUAGUUUAAUUUUUAUUUGUUUAUAUAAAUUAGUUUAAUUGGGGCGAUUAAUAAAUUAAGACUUUAUUUUUUUUUCUCAUUAAUUUAUGCAUUUUUGAUCCAUUAUAUGAUUAUAAGAAAAAGUUACCUUAGGGAUAACAGCGUAAUUUUAAUGGGGAGUUCAUAUCUAUAUUAAAGUUUGCGACCUCGAUGUUGAAUUAAGAUAAGAUUGAGGGGUAG